This 185-nucleotide small nuclear RNA is filed under the name Lepidothrix coronata (blue-crowned manakin). Its description in RNAcentral is "U2 spliceosomal RNA (ENSLCOG00000005822.1)". It matches the Rfam family "U2 spliceosomal RNA". Rfam says of the family: U2 is a small nuclear RNA (snRNA) component of the spliceosome (involved in pre-mRNA splicing). Complementary binding between U2 snRNA (in an area lying towards the 5' end but 3' to hairpin I) and the branchpoint sequence (BPS) of the intron results the bulging out of an unpaired adenosine, on the BPS, which initiates a nucleophilic attack at the intronic 5' splice site, thus starting the first of two transesterification reactions that mediate splicing. The record is from RNAcentral. Lineage: Eukaryota; Metazoa; Chordata; Aves; Passeriformes; Pipridae.
AUCACUUUGCGACCUUUUGGCUAAGAUCAAGUGUAGUAUCUGUUCUUAUCAGUUUAAUAUCUGAUACGUCCUCGAUGAGAGGACUUUAUAUUAAAUGGAUUUUUGGGCGCGGGAGUUGGACCCAGAGGUUGUUCCUGCCGCUCAGCACAUCGUCACGGUGUUGUAGUGCCUCCGGGACACUUUUU